This is a long non-coding RNA of Trichomycterus rosablanca, 355 nucleotides long. RefSeq lists it as uncharacterized. The record is from RefSeq and is a predicted model, not a curated record. The transcript is spliced from 2 exons. NCBI's taxonomy places the organism in Eukaryota, Metazoa, Chordata, Actinopteri, Siluriformes, Trichomycteridae.
UUGUUUAACCCCUCUACACUUGGAGGAUCUGCACCCGUAACCGCGCAGUUCUGAUUUCUUUUACCUCGACAUCAGUGCUGUGAAUGUAUUCGUCCAAAUAAAUAAAUAAUAAUAAACAACAACAAAAAUCGAUGCGGAAACCAUCAGCAAGCCGAUCAGGCCGAUCGAGGAACCACGCCAUGGACUUUAUGUCAAGAUCAUGGAUCAAUAUGUCAAAGUGGAUGUGAUUAGGAGACUGGAAACUCUGACGGCCCUACAGGGGCCUGCAAAUUAACAUCGCAUUGAGAAUUUACAUUGUUUUUUUUUCUCCUUUGUAUCAACUUGACACUUGGUUAUUACAAUGACUACUAAUUAA